AUACGGAGGGUGCAAGCGUUAUUCGGAAUCACUGGGCGUAAAGGGUGCGUAGGCGGUUUGAUAAGUCUGAUGUGAAAUCCUAUGGCUCAACCAUAGAACUGCAUUGGAAACUGUCAGACUAGAAUACUGAAGGGGCAGAUGGAAUUAGUGGUGUAGGGGUAAAAUCCGUAGAUAUUACUAGGAAUACCGAAAGCGAAAGCGAUCUGCUGGGAAGUUAUUGACGCUGAGGCACGAAAGCGUGGGGAGCAAACUGGAUUAGAAACCCCAGUGUCC
RNAcentral lists this ribosomal RNA (273 nucleotides) under uncultured bacterium. RNAcentral's name for it is "partial 16S ribosomal RNA". It matches the Rfam family "Bacterial small subunit ribosomal RNA", at positions 523 to 796 of the family's 1533-position model. The record is from RNAcentral.